Molecule: ribosomal RNA, 317 nt
Filed under: uncultured bacterium
Lineage: Bacteria
Description: bacterial SSU rRNA
Rfam family: Bacterial small subunit ribosomal RNA
Source: RNAcentral
GACGAACGCUGGCGGCAUGCCUAACACAUGCAAGUCGAACGGAGAUUAUUUCGGUAAUCUUAGUGGCGAACGGGUGAGUAACGCGUAGGCAACCUGCCCUUUAGUUGGGGACAACAUCCCGAAAGGGGUGCUAAUACCGAAUGUGAUCGUUUUCUCGCAUGAGAGAGCGAUGAAAGAUGGCCUCUAUUUAUAAGCUAUCGCUAAAGGAUGGGCCUGCGUCUGAUUAGCUGGUUGGUGAGGUAACGGCCCACCAAGGCGACGAUCAGUAGCCGACCUGAGAGGGUGAUCGGCCACAUUGGAACUGAGAAACGGUCCAA